UACGAAGGGGGCUAGCGUUGCUCGGAAUUACUGGGCGUAAAGCGCACGUAGGCGGCUUUCUAAGUCGGAGGUGAAAUCCUGGAGCUCAACUCCAGAACUGCCUUCGAUACUGGAGCUUGAGUCCGGGAGAGGUGAGUGGAACUGCGAGUGUAGAGGUGAAAUUCGUAGAUAUUCGCAAGAACACCAGUGGCGAAGGCGGCUCACUGGCCCGGUACUGACGCUGAGGUGCGAAAGCAUGGGGAGCGAACAGG
This 251-nucleotide ribosomal RNA is filed under the name uncultured bacterium. RNAcentral's name for it is "partial 16S ribosomal RNA". It matches the Rfam family "Bacterial small subunit ribosomal RNA", at positions 524 to 776 of the family's 1533-position model. The record is from RNAcentral.